This 253-nucleotide ribosomal RNA is filed under the name uncultured bacterium. Its description in RNAcentral is "partial 16S ribosomal RNA". It matches the Rfam family "Bacterial small subunit ribosomal RNA", at positions 524 to 776 of the family's 1533-position model. The record is from RNAcentral.
UACGAACUGUGCGACCGUUAUUCGGAAUCACUGGGCUUACAGGGUGCGUAGGCGGCUCAACCAGUCAGGUGUGAAAGCCCCCGGCUCAACCGGGGAACUGCGCUUGAAACUGUUAGGCUCGAGUCAGCUAGAGGUACACGGAACUUCCAGUGGAGCGGUGAAAUGUGUUGAUAUUGGAAGGAACACCGGAGGCGAAAGCGGUGUACUGGGGCUGGUCUGACGCUGAGGCACGAAAGCCAGGGGAGCGAACGGG